AAAUGAAUAGACGGGGGCCCGCACAAGCGGUGGAGCAUGUGGUUUAAUUCGAUGCAACGCGAAGAACCUUACCAAGAUUUGACAUCCCAAUGACCGGGCUAGAGAUAGCCUUUCCCUUCGGGGCAUUGGAGACAGGUGGUGCAUGGUUGUCGUCAGCUCGUGUCGUGAGAUGUUGGGUUAAGUCCCGCAACGAGCGCAACCCUUACCUUUAGUAGCCAGCAUAUGAGAUGGGCACUCUAGAGGGACUGCCGUGGAUAACACGGAGGAAGGCGGGGAUGAGGUCAAAUCAUCAUGCCCUUUAUGUCUUGGGCAACACACGUGCUACAAUGGCUGCAACAAAGUGACGCAAGACAGUGAUGUUAAGCCAACCACAAAAAAGCAGUCUCAGUUCGGAUUGAAGUCUGCAACCCGACUUCAUGAAGCUGGAAUCGCUAGUAAUCGCGGAUCAGAAUGCCGCGGUGAAUACGUUCCCGGGCCUUGUACACACCGCCCGU
This 494-nucleotide ribosomal RNA is filed under the name uncultured bacterium. RNAcentral describes it as "bacterial SSU rRNA". It matches the Rfam family "Bacterial small subunit ribosomal RNA", at positions 903 to 1397 of the family's 1533-position model. The record is from RNAcentral.